Molecule: long non-coding RNA, 122 nt
Organism: Haliotis rubra (blacklip abalone)
Lineage: Eukaryota; Metazoa; Mollusca; Gastropoda; Lepetellida; Haliotidae
Exons: 3
Source: RefSeq, a predicted model, not a curated record
AUAUACUGAACCGCAAAAGAAACGCCACACCGAUAGAGGUUUCUUAAAGCACACACUGUAAUUCGCUCUAAUUAACAAUCAAACCGAGGACUGAGUUCAAAUUUUACUAUUGAACGGUUAAU